GAUGCUAAUACCGGAUAACAACAGAUGAUGCCUAUCAACUGUUUAAAAGAUGGUUCUGCUAUCACUCUUGGAUGGACCUGCGGUGCAUUAGCUAGUUGGUAGGGUAACGGCCUACCAAGGCGAUGAUGCAUAGCCGAGUUGAGAGACUGAUCGGCCACAUUGGGACUGAGACACGGCCCAAACUCCUACGGGAGGCAGCAGUU
This 203-nucleotide ribosomal RNA is filed under the name uncultured Lactobacillus sp. RNAcentral describes it as "partial 16S ribosomal RNA". It matches the Rfam family "Bacterial small subunit ribosomal RNA", at positions 159 to 355 of the family's 1533-position model. Lineage: Bacteria; Bacillati; Bacillota; Bacilli; Lactobacillales; Lactobacillaceae. The record is from RNAcentral.